GGGUACUCAGAGAUCUAUAAUAUUAUGAUUAAGUUAUAUUGACAUCUCUGACAACAGAUAUGCAAGUCAUAAACUAAACUAUUCUCUCUCAGCCUGUGCUAGGUGGCUUAUGCAUCUUGGUUGAUUGGUUUUCACAAGGAAACCAAUCAACUGACCAUGUAUCUUGAACUCUUCUUGAUAAUUACAUCUUAAAAUCUUUCUUGAAUAUGCCCUCUAGAAGAUUUAUGAAAUAGUGUGUACACUGGAAAACAUGAUUUUAUAUGUAUAAAGUAAAGGAUCAGGAUAUUUGGAAAUCAAAUUGAAUGAGCUAUAGAUGCAACUGCUAAAAUUGGAAAUGAAAUUUUCUUGACAAAAACAAGCAACAGCGACUUCCAUCCCCUUCCUUUUUCUUAUAGGACAAGUCUUUUAAAUGAAUAAAAAAUACACCUAGUACAACCCAAUAACAGCACUGCCAAACAAAUAAAACCCAGAGAUGGUAACUAUACAUAUAUCUAGUUUGUCUGCACUUUGUAGUAGCCUCUACUCUUUCCAAGUACUAACAAUUGGUUUAGCCUCAGCAACAAUCAUGCACAAAAAAGAGUUCUAAUCAUAGAAACUAGAAAUUACUAAGAAAUCUACAAUCAGUCCUGAACAUGAUAGAUAUUAACAGUCCAAGCAAUCUGUCGAGCAAUCCAAAGGCUUUUUUCUCUCAAAGCCGCUUAGGCACAGUACAAAACCUGCCGAUUGGUUACAACCCCUGUAUGAAAUUCAGAAAUAGAGACAAGCCCAUAUGAUCUUAUGCUACCAACAAUGUGGAACAGGUGAGCUCCUGACUUUUUGCUUCUCUCUGAAUAAUGCACUGAGCAUCUCUUGUACAACUUUUGAGAGGUGACCCUCCUGGCCAAUCUUACUUCAAUAAACAGAAAAACUUAGAAGGAAGAAAAAGAAGGAUUCCAUAUCAUAUGCCCACAUCAUAUCAUCAUAUAAAUAUAUUUGAAAAUAGGUGAUCUAAAUAAUAGUUGAAUAUAUGCUGCACAUUCUGCUACAACCAUGUAUAAAAAACUCCUCAAGCCAUCUUCCCAUCACCUUAGCUUGAAACAAUUUCAAUGCAUAAGAAUCAUAUUCCUUCAAAAUAUAAUCCUUAACAGAUAUUUAGUGUAUAGCCUUCCUUAUAUUUCACAGGCAUCAAAAGAUCCUCAGUUAAAGAAUAUGAAGACAAGGAAAGUGGAGAAAACAUUAGUUGACAAUUUCACUAUGCUCAGCAAUGUAAUCGUUCAGAGGCCACCAAUACAAGAUCUCCACAUCAAGGAAAGAUAGCAUGAUUAUUUACUAAGCAACUUCUUCAUUUUGUUAUGGUAAUAAGCUUUGAAGCAUAAAUGAUCUUAAUAAUAAGGUCCAUUGGCCUUCAUUCAAGCUGUGAAAAUAUUAAGAAACAAUUAAGCACACGAUAAUAGUCUUUUAUGGAACAAGGCACAAUCGAGAUAGAAGGUAUUGAACUUAAAAUUUUCAGGUUUCAUUCAAAUGUAAUGUCUUACAAUGGUGAAAAGAAAAAGAAGUUGCAACACCAAUACAACAAAAAGACUGAUUAAUUUUUUCUUUGACCAAAAAUGAAGAAAUUGCCCACUGACGAAGUAUACAGGAAAAAAUAUACUAGUCCAAUAUUGCAUCAAUUUUCUUUGACUAACUAUGUACAUUAAACUUAUAUAUAUAUAUGUAUGCUUUACAGGCUAUCAGAAUGUUUCUUUAUAUAUUACACAAGGUUAGCAGGGAUUAUCAUGAUGCAACAUAACAUAGAUUGAUAUGUACCAUUUUUUGACAAGCAAUUUCUCAUGCUACUUCCUCAGCUCAGGAAUAUCAAUUACUCUAGUUGAUUAGAUUCUUAAAUAGUCACAAAACCAGGUGCAAA
Molecule: unclassified non-coding RNA, 1885 nt
Filed under: Hevea brasiliensis (rubber tree)
Lineage: Eukaryota; Viridiplantae; Streptophyta; Magnoliopsida; Malpighiales; Euphorbiaceae
Source: RNAcentral